AGGAUGAACGCUGGCGGUCUGCUUAACACAUGCAAGUCGAACGGGCGUAGCAAUACAUUAGUGGCGGACGGGUGAGUAACGCGUGAGAAUCUACCUUCAGGACGGAGACAACAGUUGGAAACGACUGCUAACCCCCGAUGUACUGAAAAGGCAAAUAUUUAUAGCCUGAAGAAGAGCUCGCGUCCGAUUAGCUAGUUGGAGAGGUAAAAGCUCACCAAGGCGACGAUCGGUAGCUGGUCUGAGAGGACGAUCAGCCACACUGGGACUGAGACACGGCCCAGACUCCUACGGGAGGCAGCAGUGGGGAAUUUUCCGCAAUGGGCGAAAGCCUGACGGAGCAAGACCGCGUGGGGGAAGAAGGCUCGUUGGGUUGUAAACCCCUUUUCUCUGGGAAGAAGUUGUGAAAGCAGCCUGACGGUACCAGAGGAAUCAGCAUCGGCUAACUCCGUGCCAGCAGCCGC
Molecule: ribosomal RNA, 461 nt
Filed under: uncultured bacterium
Lineage: Bacteria
Description: SSU rRNA
Rfam family: Bacterial small subunit ribosomal RNA
Source: RNAcentral